AUACGGAGGGUGCAAGCGUUACUCGGAAUCACUGGGCGUAAAGCGCGCGCAGGCGGCUUGAUAAGUUGGAUGUGAAAGCCUACGGCUCAACCGUAGAACUGCAUCCAAAACUGUCAAGCUAGAGUCUGGGAGGGGAAGAUGGAAUUAGUUGUGUAGGGGUAAAAUCCGUAGAGAUAACUAGGAAUACCAAAAGCGAAGGCGAUCUUCUGGAACAGUACAGACGCUGAGGCGCGAAAGCGUGGGGAGCAAACAGGAUUAGAAACCCCAGUAGUCC
This 274-nucleotide ribosomal RNA is filed under the name uncultured bacterium. RNAcentral's name for it is "partial 16S ribosomal RNA". It matches the Rfam family "Bacterial small subunit ribosomal RNA", at positions 523 to 796 of the family's 1533-position model. The record is from RNAcentral.